ACUACGGGAGGCAGCAGUAGGGAAUGUUCGUCAAUGGGGGGAACCCUGAACGAGCAAUGCCGCGUGAGUGAAGAAGGUCUUCGGAUCGUAAAGCUCUGUUGUAAGAGAAAAACGGGUAUCAUAGGGAAUGAUGAUAUCGUGAUGGUAUCUUACCAGAAAGCCACGGCUAACUACGUGCCAGCAGCCGCGGUAAUACGUAUGUGGCAAGCGUUAUCCGGAAUGAUUGGGCGUAAAGGGUGCGUAGGCGGCACAAUAAGUCUGAAGUAACAGGGGUUGGCGCAACCAACGUACGCUUUGGAACCUGUUACUCUAGCGUGCAGGAGAGGUUAGUGUCAUUCCAUGUGUAGCGGUCACAUGCGUAGAUAUAUGGAGGAACACCAGUGGCGCCGGCGGCUCACUGGCCUGUAACGGACGCUGAGGCACGAACGCGUGGGGAGCAAAUAGGAUUAGAUACCCCUGUAGUC
RNAcentral lists this ribosomal RNA (464 nucleotides) under uncultured bacterium. RNAcentral's name for it is "partial 16S ribosomal RNA". It matches the Rfam family "Bacterial small subunit ribosomal RNA", at positions 338 to 795 of the family's 1533-position model. The record is from RNAcentral.